Dreissena polymorpha is the source of this 1280-nucleotide long non-coding RNA. RefSeq lists it as uncharacterized. The transcript is spliced from 3 exons. The record is from RefSeq and is a predicted model, not a curated record. Lineage: Eukaryota; Metazoa; Mollusca; Bivalvia; Myida; Dreissenidae.
UAUUUGCUAAAACCAUUCAGCAUGUUAUAUUUAAAUAUUUACAAUUAAAUAUAAUGUGUUAAGGGUGCUGUGUAUUAUUCAAUAAAUAUUUUGGUGUUGAAAUGACUGCCUUAUCAGUAUUUCUCAAAUUAUGCAAUUUUUGGCUUAGACACAGCAUGGUAUCAGAUAAGAGAAUAGCCAGUCCUUAUCAGUCCUCCAUCUAAGCCUUACUAAGGGGUGUUGAUAUACUUUUGAUUUGUUCAGGCACCAUCUAUUUGAGAACCACAGAUAGGAAGUUAUUUUUUGAAAACAAGCAGCAUCAGCAACUGACUUUAAGCUAGAAUUAAGACUUAUUAUUCUAGUGUAAAAUGUCUUGAAAUACUUUCAGCAUGAAGUAUUGUGUGAUGAAAAAAAUGUGUAUUUACUACAAUGUGUAAAUCAACAAUAAAGGAGAUUAAAAGUGGGUGGUUAAAGACAUAUAAAGUGAUAUGGUCUAGUUCAACAACUGCCUGUAUUUUUGGAAUACUGAAGAACAGUCUGUUGUAACAGGUUAAACCCCAUGGAAAGAAUGUGCAUCAUCGCAUCGCCUGCCAAAAAAGGAAGCAAAAGAGAGACUACCUGAUGUAUGGACUUGAAUACCAGGUUUUACCCUGCACAAGCUGGCCGACAUGAGUAGAACAGGAGUGGGAAAACCGCGCCCUCUCCUUGACCAAGAAAAGCUGGAUUUGUUUAGAGGACCUGAUCAAAUGAGAUCAUGCACGUGACGCAUCGCGCACAGGCCAUGACAGUAUAAUAGUUGCAAAGAAGUUUGACCGGCUGGUGGCAGACUUGGAGAGAAAGAUGAGAGCUGCACUCCGCUGCCUCAAAGAAACGUGAAAGGCCUUGAUUGAUAUGCAUCUUUCUUAUGUAUAUAGCUGUUCGUGUGUAUAUUCUGUACAUGUUAUUAUAGUAUGCUAUUAUUUUUUGUUUAUUUAUAAUCAAAUUAUGUUUAUAUUUAUUUCAUCAAAUUGCCAUUGAUAUUUAAUUACUCAUGUAUGUUAAAAAUGUUGGUGUACAUUAAAGUAUAAAAUUGAAUUAUCUUGUAAUUAUUAAAAUACACAAAUAUAUAUGUUUAUAUAAUUAUUGGUUUUUAUUGCAUAUCUGAAUUAAAAAAACUUUUAACAGCAUAUAAUUGAAUCAACUGUUAAGGCAAAAGAUGCACCUUUAACGCACAUGUGUGCUUUUUGUGAGUGCGUCUUUUGCUGCCAUUCAUGUGCGUAAAUUGUGCGUUUUGUGUGGGUUAUAACUGCGCUUAACGUGCG